Molecule: unclassified non-coding RNA, 1477 nt
Filed under: Polistes fuscatus (common paper wasp)
Lineage: Eukaryota; Metazoa; Arthropoda; Insecta; Hymenoptera; Vespidae
Description: uncharacterized LOC122521939, transcript variant X4
Source: RNAcentral
AAAAAUAUGUCUUAAUUAAGUAACGUCUUUUACAACUGGUUAAAUAUGACUAUCCAUUUAAGUACUUUGAUCGAAACGAUCCAAGAAAUCUAUAAAAAAAAAUGUAUAAGAACAUUAAAGAAAAACAGGAAAGAGGAUGGGAAUGAAGUCGGAUAGGGGGGAGGGUUAGAAUAGGAGAAGAUUAAAGCCUUAGAAAUAAGGGUGUUCGUGAUAUAGAUGAACGAACGUACCAAGAUCAUCCGUAUUGUGAACGUAAUAAGUGUAACAGGGUCAAACAGUUAUGGCUUCUUCCAGUAUUUUUUUUUCUCCGACAUCAGGGUUACAUAAAACAAUAAGAAAUUCGAAUUGAAAAAUGAUCUAUUUUCUUCGCAAUUAUACCAGUCAAAUCUAAUAAAUCGAUUAAAUUGGAUUCAAUUAAUACAAGCAAUGUUGUCCAUCCAAUAAUCGUUCGAAUAACAUUUAACGAAUAAAAUAUGGUUUGAUCGAACGACGCAUGUUUGUCAAAGUAGCGAACGGUAGGUAUAUUCAUUCUGACGCACAUUUCGACAAAAACAAAGGUGUGUCGUCAUAAUCCUUCGAGACACAUCUCGAAAAGAAUAUUUUCUUUUUAUCGAUCUUCAAACUUAAACAAAAAAUCUCGUAAGUUGUUACGAAAAAUAAUUUUUUUUUCAUUUUGCCCAAUAUUCAUUAAUUUUUACCAGAGUCAGAGAUUGUCGAGAUUAAAGGACAUUUGCCAAAUCAAAUUCACGUUAUGUAAUCUAAAUUUAAAAAGGAUUUACCUAUGUGAAACGAAUGAUCUUAAAAAAAAAAGAGAACAAGUCGAGUGAAAUGGUAAAGACACGAAAACAAAAUCGAUUUUUUCCUUAUUUUUUCUAAUAAAUUAUAUCGAAAAGAAUUUGACGAGAAUAAACAAAAAUAUAAAAUAAAAUUUCAUUUGUGAAUACUCACACAAACUUGAGUAUGAAGUACGAGUGAUCGAUCGAUUAUUAUCUAUCGACGUUUGCCAACACGUUCAAAAAUAAAGAUACACAAGAAAAGAAGAGGAAGGAAGUUUAAAAAAUAUUUCGAAAAAGAAACUGUUAAAAGUGGAAAAAAAAUAAAUAAACUUAAAGCUACGCAUAAAAUGUUUGCGCGCACGCGUAAGCUUCUUUCUCUCUUUCGUUUUUAUUUUCAAGCUAACUCAUGGACGAGUUUGCGCAUUGGGGAUGCUUGCAACACGCAUAUAUCUAUUUUCUCGAGGUGGGUGUGCUUUUAGUAAUAAAAACAACUAAGCAAUAUAAGGUCGAUCUAAUUGUAAGUAAAAUACAAAAAAUCGGAGGAAAGAGGAAUAUCUAAACAGUAGAAAAAAAAGACAAAAAUUAAUAAAAAUAAGAAGAAAAAGACAUCAGUAGGGAAAUUAAUUAACAAAAAGAAAAAAAUAAGGCAAAUGAAACUUUGAUGAAACUUUGAUGAAAAAAUUGUGAGCAAUUUCGUAAAA